This 401-nucleotide ribosomal RNA is filed under the name uncultured bacterium. Its description in RNAcentral is "bacterial SSU rRNA". It matches the Rfam family "Bacterial small subunit ribosomal RNA", at positions 355 to 773 of the family's 1533-position model. The record is from RNAcentral.
UCAAGAAACUUCCACAAUGGGCGAAAGCCUGAUCCAGCCAUGCCGCGUGAGUGACGAAGGCCUUAGGGUUGUAAAACUCUUUCGUCGGGGACGAUAAUGACGGUACCCGAAGAAGAAGCUCCGGCUAACUUCGUGCCAGCAGCCACGGUAAUACGAAGGGAGCUAGCGUUGUUCGGAAUCACUGGGCGUAAAGCGCACGUAGGCGGAUAGUUAAGUCAGGGGUGAAAUCCUGGGGCUCAACCCCAGAACUGCCUUUGAUACUGGCUGUCUCGAGGUCGAGAGAGGUUGGUGGAAUUCCUAGUGUAGAGGUGAAAUUCGUAGAUAUUAGGAAGAACACCAGUGGCGAAGGCGGCCAACUGGCUCGAUACUGACGCUGAGGUGCGAAAGCGUGGGGAGCAAAC